UUUUUUUAAACAUAAAA
RNAcentral lists this small RNA (17 nucleotides) under Arabidopsis thaliana (thale cress). RNAcentral's name for it is "ATSL292490". Lineage: Eukaryota; Viridiplantae; Streptophyta; Magnoliopsida; Brassicales; Brassicaceae. The record is from RNAcentral.